GGUGGGGGAAUAACUCAGGGAAACUUGAGCUAAUACCGCAUAAUGCAGCGGCUCGACAUCGAGACAGUUGUUAAAGCGGGGGAUCGCAAGACCUCGCGCCUAAAGAGGAGCCUGCGGCAGAUUAGCUAGUUGGUAAGGUAAUGGCUUACCAAGGCAACGAUCUGUAACCGGCCUGAGAGGGCGGUCGGUCACACUGACACUGACAUACGGGUCAG
RNAcentral lists this ribosomal RNA (215 nucleotides) under uncultured bacterium. RNAcentral's name for it is "partial 16S ribosomal RNA". It matches the Rfam family "Bacterial small subunit ribosomal RNA", at positions 135 to 334 of the family's 1533-position model. The record is from RNAcentral.